AGUGGCGGACGGGUGAGUAACGCGUGAGAAUCUGCCUUGGGGUCGGGGACAACCACUGGAAACGGUGGCUAAUACCGGAUAAGCCGAUUGGUGAAAGAUUUAUCGCCCGAAGAGGAGCUCGCGUCUGAUUAGCUAGUUGGUGAGGUAAGAGCUCACCAAGGCAGCGAUCAGUAGCUGGUCUGAGAGGACGAUCAGCCACACUGGGACUGAGACACGGCCCAGACUCCUACGGGAGGCAGCAGUGGGGAAUUUUCCGCAAUGGGCGAAAGCCUGACGGAGCAAGACCGCGUGAGGGAGGAAGGCUCUUGGGUUGUAAACCUCUUUUCUCAGGGAAGAAGCUCUGACGGUACCUGAGGAAUCAGCCUCGGCUAACUCCGUGCCAGCAGCCGCGGUAAUACGGAGGAGGCAAGCGUUAUCCGGAAUUAUUGGGCGUAAAGCGUCCGCAGGUGGCGAUUCAAGUCUGCUGUCAAAGCACGGGGCUUAACUCCGUAAAGGCAGUGGAAACUGAAUAGCUAGAGUGCCGUAGGGGUAGAGGGAAUUCCCGGUGUAGCGGUGAAAUGCGUAGAGAUCGGGAAGAACAUCGGUGGCGAAAGCGCUCUACUGGACGGUAACUGACACUCAGGGACGAAAGCUAGGGGAGCGAAUGGGAUUAGAUACCCC
Molecule: ribosomal RNA, 660 nt
Filed under: uncultured bacterium
Lineage: Bacteria
Description: bacterial SSU rRNA
Rfam family: Bacterial small subunit ribosomal RNA
Source: RNAcentral